UUCCGGUUGAUCCUGCCGGACCCGACUGCUAUUUGGGUGAGGAUAAGCCAUGCGAGUUGAAUGGGAUACCCAAAGUUCCCAUGGCAAACUGCUCAGUAACACAUGAUCAACUUACCCUAUAGAGAAAAAUAACCUCGGGAAACUGAGGAUAAUGUUUCAUAGUUGAAUUGGCUUGGAAAAGUUUUUCGACGAAAGGGGUAAAAAGAAUGGUUUUUAUCUGCUAUAGGAUAGGAUCGUGUUCGAUUAUGGUUGUUGGUGAGGUAAUGGCUCACCAAGCCGAUAAUCGAUAGGGGCCGUGAGAGCGGGAGCCCCGAGAUGGGUACUGAGACACGGACCCAGGCCCUAUGGGGCGCAGCAGGCGAGAAAACUUUGCAAUGUGCGAAAGCACGACAAGGUUAAUCCGAGUGUUUCCUGCUAAAGGAAUCUUUUGUUAGUCGUAAAACCACUAUCGAAUAAGGGGUGGGCAAGUUCUGGUGUCAGCCGCCGCGGUAAAACCAGCACCUCAAGUGGUCAGGAGGAUUAUUGGGCCUAAAGCAUCCGUAGCCUGCUUUGUAAGUUUUCGGUUAAAUCCAUAUGCUCAACAUAUGGGCUGCCGGGAAUACUGCAUAGCUAGGGAGUGGGAGAGGUAGACGGUACUCCGUAGGAAGGGGUAAAAUCCUUUGAUCUAUGGAUGACCACCUGUGGCGAAGGCGGUCUACCAGAACACGUCCGACGGUGAGGGAUGAAAGCUGGGGGAGCAAACCGGAUUAGAUACCCGGGUAGUCCCAGCUGUAAACUAUGCAAACUCAGUGAUGCAUUGGCUUGUGGCCAGUGCAGUGCCGCAGGAAAGCCGUUAAGUUUGCCGCCUGGGAAGUACGUACGCAAGUAUGAAACUUAAAGGAAUUGGCGGGGGGAGCACCACAAGGGGUGAAGCCUGCGGUUCAAUUUGAGUCACGCCGG
This 939-nucleotide ribosomal RNA is filed under the name uncultured archaeon. RNAcentral describes it as "bacterial SSU rRNA". It matches the Rfam family "Archaeal small subunit ribosomal RNA", at positions 1 to 920 of the family's 1478-position model. The record is from RNAcentral.